Long non-coding RNA from Medicago truncatula (barrel medic), 4161 nucleotides. RefSeq lists it as uncharacterized. NCBI's taxonomy places the organism in Eukaryota, Viridiplantae, Streptophyta, Magnoliopsida, Fabales, Fabaceae. The record is from RefSeq and is a predicted model, not a curated record. The transcript has 3 exons.
UUAAAUUCCGAUCGAGCAUCGAAUCGAAUGAAGUAGGUUUAAGUUGAAUUUCAAAAACAAAUUAAAGUUCAACAAUAACAAAUCAGAUUGAAAAGUGGUUAUCUCUUUUGACGGAGUUUUCAUGCAAUUCAACCUCGUUUCAUCAAUUGAGCAAAAAAGUUGUCAACUUGAGAACAUAAUAUGAAUAUUGCUAAGGCAUGGAAUUUGUUCGACUUUGGAAUGGAAUAGAGAAAACCGCAACACAAAUGGGGCUGCACACCAAUGCCGAAAGCAAGCUUAUUAAAGUCAGAGUUUCCAAGAAAACUCCAGCCUAGUUUCAACAAUGGAGAAACAUAUCAUUCAUGCUCUCCUUCUCCUGUACAAUUUUAUGUAAUGACAAAAAUCAACCAUGAUUGAUGCAACAAAAAUAUUGAGUUAGGAUGGGAGAAUAUAUGUAGAACAGAGAAGAAUAUGACAUUAGAGUGUUCUACACCAACUAUAGAAGAAUAAUUGUAUCCAGCAAGUGCUUCAUGCGCCUUCAAAAGUACCGAUUGUAAGUAUUUUACUUGAGCAUCAGUUCUAAAUUGUAAAUUUUUGUGACCUGAAGAAAUCAUGUUCCAAAUUGGUUAACAUGUCCUUAUGCAUCAGUUACAAUCUAGAUAGGAAUAGUAUUGAUCGUCAUUUGUAAAUGCCAAUGUUGGCAUUUCCAUUUUUUUUUUUUUUUUUUGAAAAAGCUAAAAUGGAAUUAAACUCAACAAGAGUGAUUCACCACGCACAAGGAGUGCAAAUGAGAACCACUCAAAAGAAAUACAAAGUUAAAUGUCUGUUGGCAAAAAACACAAUAAAGAGAUAUCAACAAAAAAAGAACUAAAUCCUAAACCCAUACAUAAUAAAGGGUGCCGCCACCAGUCAGUGUAACUGUUGGCAUUUCCAUUUCUAUAUUUUAUCAUUAACAAAAAACCAAACUCAAACUCUAUAUUUUAUCAUUAACAUAAUUUCAAAUGGGAAAAUACCUGUAAAUGGUUAUUGAGAUGGUACAUAGUGAGUCCUGGAGUCACCAUCACCCUCAUUAGAUUCUUUAAUGUUGCAUUUGCCACCUAUGCAUAGUGGGAAAAUAUAUCAAUUAGUACUUAAGAUAUGAUCUAAAUUAAUUUGAUCUCAAAAUUUUAAAAUAAAUACGUCUGGUAAUGCAACAAAGAUGCCUCCAAAUUCCAAUUUUGCAGAAUUUUUUUGCUACACUAUUUUUAUUUUUUUUUAACAAACAAAAUGAUAUAUAUUAAUAACAUCGGUAAAAACACCCUGCACAAAGGUGUGCAAAUAAGUGGUUCACCGAGCAAAGUUUACAAAAUCAAAGAGCCAGAACAAACAGAAAGGCACAAAACAAAUCUAUUCUAGUGAUUAGUGAAGCCUAGACAUAGCAAUGGGUGUUUCCACCAAUCAUAAUAACAAUAGCUAAAAGAUGGAUGUUUUGCCUUCACUCACAAAAAAGAAUGUAAUUUUACUUUCUCGACAAGAGCAUAAGGAUGUGUAAGCGCAUCUUUAAAAAUACGUUCAUUCCGCGCCUUCCAAAUGAUCCAAACAAAUGCAAACCAAAUACCAGUAAAAAAAGAUUGUGUGUACCGUGGUAAUCCAGCCAUAUGAGAAAACUGAUAAAGAUGGUCGCGGAGAUCCAAAGGAAACACCAUAUAAAUACCUAACCAACUCGUAACCACUAUGUUUACACCUUUGUUGUAGAUUGCAUUAAGAUUAGAAGAUUCAAGUUUUCUUUCACUGUGUAAUCAUCUUCCCUUUCAUAAUAAAAAUUAACUUUUGUGAAAUAUAUUAAUUCUUGUAUUCUUUUGGUGUGCAUUCAUGUUGCUGAUGUGGUUUCUUCAUGAGGAAUGCUUGCAGAAUGAGAAUCUAAUUAAAUUUAAAGUCUCCUAUUCCUUCACAUUUGUUGCAUUCUUAAGAGGCUAUACUAUGCAUUCUUUACUUAUAUUAGUCACAUCUAAAUCUAUCCAUUCUUUAAACAUCCCCUUUAAAAUCCUAAUAGUCGCAUCUCCACCUAUGCAUUCUUUAAACAUAUUAAUUUACUUUGUUGCAAGUUUUUCUGCAAAGUUAGGAUACAUCAUGCAUAUUGUUUUAGCAAAGCACAGUCAUAUAUAAGAAUAGGACUACAAUAAACUUAAUGGAAUAAACUACUAUAUAUUAUUUUAUUUUUUUAGCGUCUCUUAUGCAUUCAACUGAUUGCUCUUUUUAUUUUAUUUUAUUUUAUUUUAUAUUAUGCACAUUUCCAAGCCAAUCAUCGAGUGGGGCAUGAUGAGAGGCAACCAUUACCUCUACCUAGAUCAACCUAAUGUAAGCUUUUUUUCCUCCAUUUUAAUUAAGUUGCUUCUACUAUUUUCAUAUAUGUAAUGUGAUAUUUUGUUAACAUGCUAAUUGCGUUUUCUUCUCUAAUCAAUUUGCACUGUUUAGUUUUCAGUAUUAUAGCCUAAGCGGUUCUAAUAGAUGUGAUGAGACAAAAGGCUAAUUAGCAUAGUCUUGAGUUGAGAAUAAUGUAAUUGGGACAACUUUUGCACCUUUAGAGCAGCACUAAAAUAAAGAGUUUCUAUCUAAUAAGCAUAACCAACUAUUUCUAAGAAAGAAAAAAAGUUGUGGUUUGAAUGAAUAUAUAUGUUUGAAGAAUGCAUAGGGGUUUCCCUAAUAAAGUCUCCUUUCCAUAUACUUGCUAUACAACUUAGAAAUUCUUAAAAGCUAGGUGUAGAUGUGACUUGUGAGCCUCUUAAUGGUGAAUACAGAAAGAAUUUUCAAUACUAUUCUGUUUUUAAUAAAUCUUACACCUGCCUCUUCAUUAAGAUGUUAUAUCAUUUGUAAAAAUGAAGAGGGUGAUAUAUAUCAUUUGGUUUCAUAAUGAGGGCAUCCAAUUGUAAAAAUGAAGAGGAUGAUAUAUAUUUAAUGAAUACCAUAAAAUGAUGUAUAACAUAAAUUUGACGAAUACUUUUGAAUAUGUGAAAAUAAAGAAUGAAAAAGUUAAAAAGUGAAUAGCAGUUGUUGUUUUUAGCUAUAGUUAUGUUUGUUCAUAUGCUGCAGUUAAGCAUAGCAUGAUUUAGUGAAACAAAUCCAGCUUUGUCUAUGAUUCAAUGAAUACCAUAAAAUAUAUAACAAAAAUUUUAUGAAUACAUUUGCAUAUGUGAAAGUAAAAGAAUGAAGAGGUUAAAUAGUGUAGUUGGCAGUAGUGACAAUCUCUGUUAAUGCUCGAGUCCCAUAAGGUCAUGGACCUUCUGAAGGUCUUGGUUUGCCGCCUUGACAUCCCAAUCACGAAGUGAUGGCCGCUUGUAUUUUCCUGUUAGAAAUGGGCUUUUCUUCCCCAUUUUCUCCAAGUAAUUAAUCUGCACAAUAAAAACAUGCACAUACAUAAAUUAAAAAUCCACCAUUUAGUUGUUUUAAAAAUACAAAUAUAUAUAUAUAUAUAUAUAUAGAAUGAUCACCAUUAGGAAGUGGAAGUCCGCUAAUGGAUUUGCAAUUUCCGGAGUUUGAAGGCCCUCUUUCAUAUACCCAAGAACAUGUGAGCACCAAUUAUAAUAUGAUACCCCAGCCGGAUCUUCUAAUAUGUACGCAUAUUGGAGAGAUACAAAGUUACUAUUAGUCGGGCACAAAAUUUUGUGAAUGAUAAAACAAAUUGCACCCUUCACCCAAGCUUUUGGUUUCUCUAGUGUCUUCAAUAUUCUUUCCAAAUCUGUCACCCUCACAGAAGCUGAAUAAUAUCCAUUCAGUCCCAAUUCUUUCCUCAAUUUCUUUAUUGCUUCCUCAGAGCAGAGAUCGACGUUAAUCUUCUUCCCUUCCAUUGGGAGCUCAUACACCCUAUGUACAUUUUCCUCUUUCAAUGGAAGCACCUCGGUCUUGCUUAAUACAAUGCACAUGUUCUCUUUGUGAAAGUUUCUAACAACCCAAUCCACAAAGAAAGUGUGGAUUCUUUUCCAGUUGCAGAUAUGCGUCAAUUAUCUCAUGUUUUCUUCUUUUGCCAUUUACUGAAUUCAUAAGCUCAUAUACCUUAGGUAUACUCAUCUUGUGCCUCAGUCUUUGCUUGACAUUUUCAUCAUUUGAACUUCCUUCAUCAGAAUCUUGUGCAACCAUUUGUUGUUUCUUUUUAUGAUUCUUCUUUUCUUUACCCUUAGACUUUCUUGUUUUUUUACCACCAUCAGA